RNAcentral lists this ribosomal RNA (567 nucleotides) under uncultured bacterium. Its description in RNAcentral is "partial 16S ribosomal RNA". It matches the Rfam family "Bacterial small subunit ribosomal RNA", at positions 355 to 939 of the family's 1533-position model. The record is from RNAcentral.
UGGGGAAUAUUGCACAAUGGGCGAAAGCCUGAUGCAGCAACGCCGCGUGAGUGAUGAAGGCCUUCGGGUUGUAAAGCUCUGUCUUUUGGGACGAUAAUGACGGUACCAAAGGAGGAAGCCACGGCUAACUACGUGCCAGCAGCCGCGGUAAUACGUAGGUGGCAAGCGUUGUCCGGAUUUACUGGGCGUAAAGGAUGCGUAGGCGGAUUUUUAAGUGAGAUGUGAAAACCCUAAGCUUAACUUGGGGACUGCAUUUCAUACUGGAAAUCUAGGGUGCGGGAGAGGAGAAUGGAAUUCCUAGUGUAGCGGUGAAAUGCGUAGAGAUUAGGAAGAACACCAGUGGCGAAGGCGAUUCUCUGGACCGUAACUGACGCUGAGGCAUGAAAGCGUGGGUAGCAAAACAGGAUUAGAUACCCUGGUAGUCCACGCCGUAAACGAUGAGUACUAGGUGUAGGAGGUAUCGACCCCUUCUGUGCCGCAGUUAACACAAUAAGUACUCCGCCUGGGAAGUACGAUCGCAAGAUUAAAAACUUAAAAGGAAUUGACGGGGGUCAUAGCUGUUUUCCU